GCCUGGGGCCGGCCGCGCUCUCGGGCUCGCAGGCGCUGGGUCUCGGCUCCGGCUCCGGCUCCGCGCCGCUGGCUCUGCGUCGCUCGCACUCCAGCCGGGGGCACCCUCAUCCCAGGCUGACUGACGUCCCUGGCACCCAAAUGUCGCGGGGAGUGCGGGGCCAGGGUGCGCCCUCCCUCCUCCUCCAGCCAGUGAAACCCGGGACAGCGGCACCCAGCCCCAGGGCGGAGGCCGUCUCUGCUGCGCGCAGCGACGCACCCAGGCCCAAGGGCCGGGAGAUCCGCGGGGAACCCGGAGACCUGCGUCCCAGAGGGGCCGAGGGUUGCACCGCGCCCGCUCCCACGGGCCUCUUCCGAGAGGACGCUUCUCCCUCGUGUCCGCGGGAAGUCCUCGGAUCCUGGAUGAGAAAGAGCCUUCUCUCACCGGCUCCCAGACCCCGCGCUUUUUAAUACCUGUCCUUGCAGAGCGACUGGUCAUUUUAGGCCCGAGUCGAGCCUCUCUUGAUUAAUAAAUGAAUAUGGCUCGUUUUGUUUUAAGUGUGCGUGGAUGUAUACGUUGUAUUGUUUUGCAAUUCAACACCGCAAAGAUCUGGGAAAAGUUCUUCACCUGCAUUAAGGAAAGCAAUUACAAACUCGUAGUCCAAACCAGAAGAGCCAGAAAA
Homo sapiens (human) is the source of this 661-nucleotide long non-coding RNA. Ensembl annotates it as NEBL antisense RNA 1. Its record names the gene NEBL-AS1. The record is from Ensembl. Lineage: Eukaryota; Metazoa; Chordata; Mammalia; Primates; Hominidae.